Molecule: ribosomal RNA, 253 nt
Filed under: uncultured bacterium
Lineage: Bacteria
Description: partial 16S ribosomal RNA
Rfam family: Bacterial small subunit ribosomal RNA
Source: RNAcentral
UACGAGGGGGGCUAGUGUUGUUCGGAAUCACUGGGCGUAAAGGGAGCGUAGGCGGGAGCUCAAGUUGGGUGUUUAAUUCCGGGGCCCAACCCCGGGCAUGCACUCAAAACUGGGUUUCUUGAAUAGGGGAGAGGUCGAUGGAAUUGGAGGUGUAGCGGUGGAAUGCGUAGAGAUCUCCAAGAACACCGGUUGCGAAGGCGGUCGACUGGACCCAUAUUGACGCUGAGGCUCGAAAGCGUGGGGAGCAAACAGG